This 464-nucleotide ribosomal RNA is filed under the name uncultured bacterium. RNAcentral describes it as "partial 16S ribosomal RNA". It matches the Rfam family "Bacterial small subunit ribosomal RNA", at positions 339 to 795 of the family's 1533-position model. The record is from RNAcentral.
CUACGGGAGGCAGCAGUGGGGAAUAUUGCGCAAUGGGGGCAACCCUGACGCAGCCAUGCCGCGUGUGUGAAGAAGGCCUUCGGGUUGUAAAGCACUUUCAAUGGGGAAGAAAAGCGUAGCGUUAAUAGCGUUGCGCCGUGACGUUACCCAUAGAAGAAGCACCGGCUAACUCCGUGCCAGCAGCCGCGGUAAUACGGAGGGUGCGAGCGUUAAUCGAAAUUACUGGGCGUAAAGCGCGCGUAGGCGGUUUGUUAAGUCAGCUGUGAAAGCCCCGGGCUUAACCUGGGAACUGCAGUUGAUACUGGCCGACUAGAGUACGAGAGAGGGAGGUAGAAUUCCAUGUGUAGCGGUGAAAUGCGUAGAUAUAUGGAGGAAUACCGGUGGCGAAGGCGGCCUCCUGGCUCGAUACUGACGCUGAGGUGCGAAAGCGUGGGGAUCAAACAGGAUUAGAUACCCCCGUAGUC